Molecule: unclassified non-coding RNA, 1369 nt
Filed under: Hevea brasiliensis (rubber tree)
Lineage: Eukaryota; Viridiplantae; Streptophyta; Magnoliopsida; Malpighiales; Euphorbiaceae
Source: RNAcentral
CAUAUAGCCGACCCCAAAUUUUUAUGAUAAAGACUUAAUUGAGUUUAGUUAAGUAUAAAAAAAAAUAAAAAACCGCAGAUGUCGUUCCCAAUCCCACAAGUCCAGCUUCCAAUUUGAAACGUGAUAAUGUAAAGCAGCUAAAGCAUAUAGCAAUUUUUUUUGAGGCUGAAGCCUUUUUCACAUAUUCGGAUGUACUGUGGCAAAACCUAACCAAGCCAAAAGUAGCCACCUCUGAUGGUGAUAUUACACAGCUUAGAGCCACCAUGCUUUACUUCCUCUUUCAUUUGCCUUUUGUUAGGAGAAAGUGAUGGAUAACCAAGAGAAAUCACCAAAAACAAGUACCAUGCAUCUAAAACCUUCAAGGAGUUGUCCAUUCCACAAAUAACAGAAACUUCCUUUUGCAUAAUCUACUAUAUCAAUGCAUCUCAAGUAUAUCACCUAUCGACACAUCUCCUUUUUCAGAAUAUUACCAUGUGAAACUUCCCCCAAAGAACUGGUAGUUGCAAAAAACUCGUCUGCCCAUUGCUGAAUCCAUAUGUGAAUUCAUUGUACAUGGAUAUCCAAGAUGGGUCUCAAGCAACAAUAUGUCAGACCCAACAAAUCUUUGACAUCAAUAGGCGCCUCAAAGACUACUGUACCAAAAUGUUACCGUGGUUGAACCACCACCUUAGCUCACACUGUAAACAGAACUCAAAAAUCCAACUAAAUUUAAUGACAUAGAAGACAGACAACACAUGUUAAAUCUGCCCUAACCCGAGCACAAAGAUCACGAAAAAUACACUCUAACAUCCUCUAAAGCAAGAAGUUUACCAUCUAAGUUGAAACCAGUUUAACUGGUCUACAGCACGGUCCAAUAACCCUCUUAACUUAGUUGAUUCAACAAGGCUCAAAACCCUCCCCAAGAAUCUGAGUAGAGUCACUAAUCACCAGCAAGUUUGAUAACAACAGUACCCACUUAUCCAAGACUGCUAUACUCACUAAAUGCCACAGGCCACUUGGAAUCAUGAGGCCGAAAUAACUUGAUUACCAGGACUACCACAAUUCAUACCUAAUCCUCCUUCAAAAGUUUGCCAAUUAUUAAACCAGCAUCAGUAAUCGCAUAACAGUGAACUGUCCACCAAACUAAUAGUAAGGCACUCAUUUAUUGCUAAAUAAAUACAGGUACCUGUCCAACAAGAAUUUCAUUCUGUAAUUGACACAUUGUGAUACAAAAUAUAGAGCAACUAUUACCGAUGAUCAGCAAGUGUUAAUUGAGCUGUUAAUUAAUCACAUCUACUAAAUAAGCAUUAAAAACCAAUUACAAGAGUUCUUUAAAGAAAAGAUCACAAAUGAAAUAUAAAAUCAAUGUCAUGUACAAAUAAAAAAAAUA